GUGAGGAAUAUUGGUCAAUGGGCGGGAGCCUGAACCAGCCAAAUCGCGUGAAGGAUGAAGGUAUUAUGUAUUGUAAACUUCUUUUAUCGGGGAAUAAAGUGCAUCACGUGUGGUGUUUUGUAAGUACCCGAAGAAUAAGGAUCGGCUAACUCCGUGCCAGCAGCCGCGGUAAUACGGAGGAUCCGAGCGUUAUCCGGAUUUAUUGGGUUUAAAGGGUGCGUAGGCGGACUAUCAAGUCAGCGGUGAAAGUUCAUGGCUCAAACAUGGAAUUGCCGUUGAAACUGAUGGUCUUGAUUGUAGAUGAGGUAGGCGGAAUUCGUUGUGUAGCGGUGAAAUGCAUAGAUAUCACGAAGAACACCGAUUGCGUAGGCAGCUUACCAAGCUACAACUGACGCUGAGGCACGAAGGUGCGGGGAUCAAACAGGAUUAGAAACCCUGGUAGUCC
This 445-nucleotide ribosomal RNA is filed under the name uncultured bacterium. RNAcentral describes it as "partial 16S ribosomal RNA". It matches the Rfam family "Bacterial small subunit ribosomal RNA", at positions 354 to 796 of the family's 1533-position model. The record is from RNAcentral.